AUUCAAGAUUAUCUUGGUUUAGUUGCCUCAUUUUCAGACAGGAUUAAAUCCCCCAGAGAUGGUAAGCCACCUGACUAAGGUAGCGAAGAAAAUAAGCAGAGUAAGGAGAGCAAUGAUUUCAAAAAUAUUUUACUGCCUUUUGACACCAAAUCCUGGGAUUAUUUUCCUAUUUACCAAGGUCACAAUUUUAUUAUGCCUCAAUUUUGUUCAUUCUUAGCAGAGUGCAAAGGAAAGAAUGUAGUGUUAAGAAACCAAGAGAUGAAAACAUUUUAAGGAUGAGAAAAUGCUUAUUAAAUUUUAAGGUUUGUAAUUACCUAGUAGAUUAAAGCUAAUGUUUAAUUUUUCAAGUUCUUUGGCAUAUUGAUUUUGGGGAAUACAUACAUUUUAAAUGAUUGACUCAAAUAUCUGUGUCAUGUCUUUAAAUCAUUAAUGAGGAAGUUUUUCUUGGACAUUGGGGAAAUGACUCUUCUGACUCUGAAAGGACAUUUCCUGUUGUGGGAGGGGGUAUCCUGGGCUGGCUCUAUUUAUAGGGUAAAGGGAACUUUACUACCUAUGCCUUUGCUUUCAAAGAUUGUCAGCAUUACCUCUUGCUCCAGGCUCUAUCACCAUGAUGAAAUCAGCUGCUUUGACCAUUUUGGUCCUGGCAACAUCUUACUUCGUUUUCUCUGUUGCUGAUAAUCAAGUAAAAGUAAGUCAAGAAAAAGGGACAGAGGUUGAUUGUGGACAGUAUUUUACUUCUGCCAAAGGAAUGGGAUGUCCUAGGAAUUAUCAACCAAUCUGUGGGACUAAUCAGAAAACUUAUGGCAAUGAAUGCAUGCUCUGUGAUUUUAACAGAUCAACUAGAAUGAAUAUCAGAAAGCUGCAUGAUGGAGACUGUGAAAAGUAAGUCCUUUGACCUUAAAUAUCUAUGGAUCUUGCAAUGAGCAAAGGAAGAGUGAUUCCCAUCUGCAAGAAGCUUGAUCUCAAUCAUAAUCACUUGGUUACUUCUCACUGAGUUGAACUGUGGCCAUUGAAAUCCCUUUAUUGUUUGCUGAUUUAUUGACACAAUAAAUACUUUUCUGCAUGAACUCUAAGAGAUGUG
Molecule: long non-coding RNA, 1081 nt
Filed under: Monodelphis domestica (gray short-tailed opossum)
Lineage: Eukaryota; Metazoa; Chordata; Mammalia; Didelphimorphia; Didelphidae
Description: lncRNA (ENSMODG00000039355.1)
Source: RNAcentral